RNAcentral lists this long non-coding RNA (3792 nucleotides) under Sparus aurata (gilthead seabream). RNAcentral's name for it is "lncRNA (ENSSAUG00010002292.1)". The record is from RNAcentral. Lineage: Eukaryota; Metazoa; Chordata; Actinopteri; Spariformes; Sparidae.
AUGAAGUGUUGGCUAUGUCAAUCAAUACUUAUAGGUACACAAAGGGAGGAGAGACUGACCCUGAUGAUGACCAUAUUGAACUGGAUGAGAGCAGCAGCAACAGGAACCUCCCAGUUCAACCUACUUUUGCUGUACCUAAAGGUUCCUAAGACAUUUCUCAAACAAGAGCUGCCGGCCCUGCACAACAGAUCCUGAAGACCUUCCCUCGCACUCAGCAUGGUCAGCGUAUUCAGCUUAUACAUUCUCACUGUGAAAUUGAGAACAGUAACAACAAUAUCCUAGAUUCUUAUUAAGAAUAUAGAAUGUUGUUGUUAUUGUUCUCAAUUGCACUGUGAGAAUUUGAGUGGUGCUUAUUCACGUAAGACUGAUUACUAUACAGAACACUGAGAUCUUUACUGUACAGAGCUAAGCACUAACUAUUGAAUGAGAGUAUAUGAUAUUGUUGUUCACUGUGAGAAUUUAUGGUGCUGCUUAUUAGGGUUGCAAAAUUCCUUGAAUGUUCAAAAUUGGAAACCUUCCAUGUGAAUCAAAGGGAAUAUAUGGGAAUUUAUAGGAAUUAACAUGAAUAAUGGGAAAUUUGCAAAAUUGCUGGUUAGCCUUUAACAAGGAAUUUAAAUGUAGUUAAAAAAUAUCCUGCUUAUAUCUUAGUUAAAACAACAAGAUUUAAUACAAAUUCAGUUGAAUGCACAGAGCAGGGAAAUAAUUCAACUGAAUUUGUAUUAAUUCAACUGAUUUAAUACAAAUUCAGUUUAAUUCAACUGAUUUAAUACAAAUUCAAUUCAACUGAAUUUGUAUUAAAUCAGUUGAACUAAUUCAAAUUCAGUUGAAUUGCUACCCUGCUCUGUGCAUUCCUCAAUCACAAGCACAACUAAUUUCUAGUAUCCUGCACACUACAGCAGGACUAUUGAAGCCACAUUACUGCAUGCAAGUUUAACAAGCAAAUAAAAGUAAAUCAGAUAUGCUAAUGUAAGCUAGCUAACAUCAUUUCAUUGACAAUUUAAGAGCCUAGCUAUCAUGGUGCUAGCUAGCUCAACUGUGAUGUGUUUCUUCUGCCUUCAGCUGGCCUUUUUUCAUACAAGAAUGUAGGUUAUAGUUUGAUUUAGCAUACUGAUUGAGUGUUCAUCUAUUCAUCUAGCCUUUCUAUUCAUUUAUACAGCAUUUUUUUUCAUAUCUUUAUUGGGUUAUCUAGACACAAUGUAUGUUCAAUCAGUAAGGAUACAAAAAACAAAAACAGGAGGGGGUGAACAGUAGCCAAACCAACAAAAAGUAAAAAGGGGCAAUUAGAGGAGGGACCCACAAUGCUUGGGGAAAAAAACAAAAAUUAACUAUAACAGUUUGUGUAUGUUGUGCCUGGUGUUCGACCACCAUAUCAUCACACCAAGACUAUUACUGGUGUCUUUCAGAAUCCUGACUGGGAAAAAAAAGGAAAAAAGUUACAUCAGUUUAUCUUAAUUGGAACCAUCUAUCUUAAUCAUCAAAUGAUGGAAUGGAAUUGAGUAAGUAAAGAAUGGGAUUCCAAGUUUUAUCAAAUUUGAUCGGAGCACCCCCUAAUACUGUACUUGGUUUUUUCUAAGUGUAGAAAUUACGUUAGAUCCUUUAGCUAAGAGUUAGGGGUGGGAGGAUUCUUAUCCUUCCAAAGAAGUAAAAUACGUCGGCGGGCUACGUGAAUUCUUCAGGCACACCAAAGUUGGAGGUUAAAGGACUCCAAAGCUGUUUAGAGCUUUUGAAAGAGUAUUGUAGAAAGAGGACCAGAAUGAGCUUAAUCUCGGACAGGAAAAAAACAUGUGUGUAUGACUGGCUGAAGACAGAGAGCAUCUGUCACAUGUAUCACUUGUAUUAAAAAGUUUUUUUCAAGUUUAGCUUUGGAAAAAUGUAUUCUAUGUAGGACCUUGAACUGAAUUAAUGUCAGACUGGCACAAGAUGAGGUGGAGUUAACCCUGUCAAGGGCCCUUUGCCACCAUUCGCCUGACAAGGUUACCACCUAGCUCCUUUUCCCAUGAAUUCCUAGUUGCCAGUGGGGAUGACAAUGAUGACAAGAUUAAUUUCACCACAAUUGAAAUGAACCCACAGACCGCAGGGAGAGAAAGAAUUAUAUCAAUGAGAGUACGAGAUGGUUUGUGGGGGAAGUCGGGGAAUUACAACGAACAAAAUCUCUGGCUUGAAAAUAUCUAAAAAAAAAUGGAAGGGCGAAUUUAGUUCUCAAAGGAGAUCAAAAUGUCCUUGUCGAAAAGUUGAUCAAAAUUCACCAGCCCUUUCUCUUUCCACAGAGUGUAAGUUGAAUCAAGGCCGUGGGUGGAAAUAAAUGGUUUUCACAGAAGGGCAUCAGUGGGGAAAGAGAGGUGAUUUUGAAGUGCCGUUUAAACUGUUUCAGGAUUUUUAUAGUAGUCAAGACAAUUGGGUUGGAGGUGACUUUAGUAGGGUGUGCAUUUAGAGGGGAACAUAUUAAAGCUGAUAAAGAGAUGGAGUUGCAUGAGUAGACUUCCAUCUGACACCAGUCUGUGCUGGGGGAGUUGUACCAGGUAUAGAUUUUUGGAAUAUUGGCUGCCCAAUAGUAUGCCCUGAAAUCCGGCAGAGCAAGGCCACCCUCAUCCUUGGUUCUUUGCAAAAUUGAGUACUUUGCCCUUGAAGUCUUUCCCGACCAAAUGAAAUGUGAAAUGAUCUUAUCCAAUUCUUUAAAAAAAGUUUUGGGCAGGUAUAUAGGUAGACACUGAAAAAGAAAUAAACAUUUUGGUAGGACAUUCAUUCUGAUAGAAUUGAUUCUACCUAGAAGCGGCAAUGGACUAAGUUAUCUAAGAAUUUGUUCAUUGAGGUAGUGUCUGAAGAGGCUUCUGAUUUAUAUAAAUCAGAAUAAUAUGAAGUGAAAAUAUUUAUCUCGGUUGGGUCUGUAACUGAAGUUUGGGGGUUCUUACGAAUUUGUGCAAUGAAUUGGGAAGAGGAUUGAUGUUUUAGUUGCCUUGCCAGUAACCGGCUAGCCGUGUUUCCAUAUUCAUAAUAAGUGCCCUUUGUACCCCUUAAAAGAAACUCCACUUUGUUUGUGGAAAUGGGGUCAAAUUCAGUCUGUAAUUUAAGUCUCUCCAUCUAGAGAGUGGGAUUGGCUGAAGUGGAGUGUUGUCUGUCAAUUUGAAGAGUUGUUUCCAUCAGUUCAAGUUGUCUUUGUUUUUCACCCUUUCGUAUCCUCGCUUUAUAUAAGAUAAUCUCUCCACAUAUUACCGAAGGUUUCCCACAGGAGAGAAGGUGAUGUAGAGUCAGAUUUGUUAUUUCCGAGAAAGCGUGAAAUCCUGUCAGAAAUAAAUCCACAAAAUUUGUCGGAUGAUAAUAGCCCAGUGUUUAAUCUCCAGGUUGAGUGGCUUUUGGUUUUAGGGACUAGUUCUAAAUCUAAUAAGAGGGGGGCAUGGCCUGAAAUAAUUAUUCACAUUGUUUCACUGAGGGUAAUAAAAUCUUAUCAAGAAAAAAGUAGUCUAUUCAAGGGUAUGUUUGAUGAACCUGGGAAUGAAAUGAAAACUCUUUCGCUGUUGGGUGGAAAAAACGCUGCACGUCCACACUGCCAAUUUGAUCUGUGAAUACAGAUACACAUUUAGCUGCUUUGGAUUGAGUUAGUUUUCUUGAACACAAUCUGUCAAGUGUGGGAUUGACAGAUAAGUUAAGAUCCCCUCCAAAGAUGAGUUGAUGUGUAUCUAGGCUUGGAAUGGAUAAGAAUAGGGAAGUCAUAAAAUUAGGGCAGUCCCAGAUGGGGGGCAUAAACACAAACCAUAAUAACAGGAGUUUGGAACAGCACACCAACGACAAUAAUAU